GAAUUCGAUUAGAGUUUGAUCCUGGCUCAGAUUGAACGCUGGCGGCAGGCUUAACACAUGCAAGUCGAGCGGGAAUACGGAGCAUGUUGCUCACUCCUAGACGAGCACCGGACAGUAAAGCUAAGGAAGCUACCCAGCCUGAGGGAACGACAUUACUACUGGAACCCGUAUACCACAUCCCUCCUACUCGAAAAACCAAGGAAUCUUACCACCUUGCCCCUUGACAUGAGACGUACCCAGAUUAGAUUAUCUAUGAGGUGAAGGACUGCCUCAGCUACGAUACGAUCCCUAUCUGAUAUGAUAAUACGACCCACCGCGCACGGAAACGAGACCCAGACCCCACUCCUACGGGACGCAGCGGAAUAUAAUAUUGUGCACUGGAAGCCUGAUCCGACCCUGCCAUGCCGCGUGAAGUAAAGCAAUGUCUUUGGAAUGCACAUUACUCUCAGCAAAGACUCACGUUGUUAAUACCAUACGCGCGUGGACUGAACUCACUCCAAAAAACAACCGCCUAACUCUGUGCCUGCCAGCCGCCGCAAUUACAUACGGAGGCGUAGCGUUCAUCAAUAUUUUCUUGACUCGUACAUAAAAGCGCUACGCCAGGCUUUUUUGGUUCAGGACUGAAGAAUACCCUCCACCCGUAAUCCUACCUGAAGUGACUUCCUAUUCCAACAUGGCCUAACAAUAUGUCUCAGAAGAAUGGGGGGAAAUACCAUCCCGGAGGUAGCUGAAAUAAAUGCGUAAAUCA
This 748-nucleotide ribosomal RNA is filed under the name uncultured Pseudomonas sp. RNAcentral describes it as "partial 16S ribosomal RNA". The stretch from base 12 to 565 matches the Rfam family "Bacterial small subunit ribosomal RNA", at positions 9 to 546 of the family's 1533-position model. Lineage: Bacteria; Pseudomonadati; Pseudomonadota; Gammaproteobacteria; Pseudomonadales; Pseudomonadaceae. The record is from RNAcentral.